RNAcentral lists this ribosomal RNA (406 nucleotides) under uncultured bacterium. Its description in RNAcentral is "partial 16S ribosomal RNA". It matches the Rfam family "Bacterial small subunit ribosomal RNA", at positions 30 to 526 of the family's 1533-position model. The record is from RNAcentral.
AUUGAACGCUGGCGGCAGGCCUAACACAUGCAAGUCGAACGAGUGGCGCACGGGUGAGUACUGUCUGGGAAACUGCCCGAUGGAGGGGGAUAACUCCUGGAAAAGGUCGCUAAUACCGCAUACCAUAUCAUGUGCCCCCAUGGGGUUAGCUAGUAGGUGGGGUAACGGCUCACCUAGGCGACGAUCCCUAUCUGGUCUGAGAGGAUGUCCAGCCACACUGGAACUGAGACACAGUCCAGACUCCUACGGGAGGCAGCAGUGGGGAAUAUUGCACAAUGGGCGCAAGCCUGAUGCAGCCAUGCCGCGUGUAUGAAGAAGGCCUUCGGGUUGUAAAGCACUUUCAGCGAGGAGGCGUUACUCGCAGAAGAAGCACCGGCUAACUCCGUGCCAGCAGCCGCGGUAAUAC